GUUUACGGCCAUACCAGCCUGGGUACGCCCGAUCUCGUCUGAUCUCGGAAGCUAAGCAGGGUUGGGCCUGGUUAGUACUUGGAUGGGAGACCACCUGGGAAUACCAGGUGCUGUAAGCU
This 119-nucleotide ribosomal RNA is filed under the name Salmo trutta (river trout). The record is from RNAcentral. Lineage: Eukaryota; Metazoa; Chordata; Actinopteri; Salmoniformes; Salmonidae.